Molecule: non-coding RNA, 410 nt
Organism: Chelydra serpentina (North American snapping turtle)
Lineage: Eukaryota; Metazoa; Chordata; Testudines; Chelydridae
Source: Rfam
CCGCUGCGGCGGCAGGUGGGGGCUCAGUCUUUCUAACCCUAAGCGAAAUGUGACCCCUCCCCGCUGCAGCCGUCCGCUGUUUUACUCGCUGACUUUCAGCGGACGGGGGGAGCGGGUGGAGACGCCAACCAAAAAACGUCAGCGAGGGGCCCUCCCCUCCCACGCCGACCUGGGCCUGUGGUGGGGCCCGCCAGCGAAGUCCCCGCCGCCCCGCCCCGGUGAGGCCGCGGUCAGCCGGCUCGCGCCACUGCUGCCGCGAAGAGUUCGUCUCUGUCAGCCUCGGGGGCGGCCGGGGUGGAAGGGCGGGUCCCGAGCCCGUCGGCCGGGAGAGCAAACGUGAGCGGCAGCCCCUGCGCCACCGCCCUCCCCUAAGCUGUGGGGCCCGCGGUCGGGGCUGCGCUCAGACACGC